This is a non-coding RNA of Paramuricea clavata, 114 nucleotides long. NCBI's taxonomy places the organism in Eukaryota, Metazoa, Cnidaria, Anthozoa, Malacalcyonacea, Plexauridae. The record is from the annotation of a GenBank genome assembly.
GUAGGAUAUGGGGACUAUUACCCCGUGACUGGAGAAGGGAAGCUGAUUGGUUGUCUGUGUACAAUACUCGGUGCACUUGCAUUCUCACUUCCGGUGAUCGUGCUUGCAGCGAAC